Non-coding RNA from Mandrillus leucophaeus (drill), 75 nucleotides. Lineage: Eukaryota; Metazoa; Chordata; Mammalia; Primates; Cercopithecidae. The record is from Ensembl.
GUUAAGAUGGCAGGGCCCGGCAACUGCAUAAAACUUAAAACUUUAUACCCAGAGGUUCAACUCCUCUUCUUAACA